This 2453-nucleotide long non-coding RNA is filed under the name Homo sapiens (human). RNAcentral's name for it is "HSALNT0146556". Lineage: Eukaryota; Metazoa; Chordata; Mammalia; Primates; Hominidae. The record is from RNAcentral.
CUGUAUCCCAAUAUCUGCAGUGUCUGGCCCACUUUGGCUCCUACCGGCAUGCUCUUAUGUUAGCCUAUGCACAAUUUCACCUUAAAAAGAAUUGCAAAUGCCUCAGAGAAUGAGAGAUUCCAUAGACAUAUAUUUUCUAGGCAAUUAAACCUCCAUGAUAAUGAGGGAGUUAAGUAUCUUUAAAAAAUACUAUGAGAAGUAUAUUGCAUGAAAAAAUAGUUUGAACUAUAAAACAGAAAUAUAUUUGUUUAUACCAUACAGCCCCCCCAAAUAAAACAUUACCAACAGGAAAAAAAAUCGUUAUAUAGAAUACUUAUUUGCUUUCCUAUUGUCUCCAUGUAACAGAUCAUGAACUCCUUGAGGGCAGGUACCAUUUUUUGUAUCUUUGUCUCUCCAUCAUCUACAAUAGUGACUGAUUAAUAAAUAUUCAAUAAAUAGAUGAAUGAAAAAAGGGACUUUGAACAUAUCCACAAUUACCCAUUUAAGAGACAGAAAUCAUCACAACUAUGCUUUUAUUUACUAUGCUUACAUACUUUUAUUUUAAUCAAGGUAAAUCAUUUAUACAUACUCCUAUUGGCUCAAAUAUAACCUUAUAAGUUAUGUUAUUCCAAAUGUGUGCAUUUAUCUGCCUUAAGGGUUUUCAGGAGCAUAAUCCUUGUGAUUGAGGUGAAGAUAGUAGAUAUACAUAAAUGCUAUCUCAGCAUUACUGUGGUUUUAAAUUGUGUAAUAUGUUCUCCUAAGUAAAUUGUAAACAACUGUUGCCAACAAAGGAUAUUACAUAAGAGAUUUCAUAAUCUUAUUUAAUAACUAUAGUGAUUUCUAAUAUUUCAAAAAGUGAUUGAAAAAUGUAAUUCUGCCUAGAAAAAUUUAGGAUCAGAUUUAGAAGUAAUUUUAAAAAUUGUUAUUAUUUUUAUAAAUUUGGAACCAUUUAAUGUGCUAAUGAUUUUCUUUUUUUUAAGACCGUGAGAUUUGCUUUGGACUGAAUGUUGCUAGCUCACCCAAAAUUCAUAAUCUGAAGCCUGAUCACCAGUGUGAUGGAAUUAUGAAGUGGGGCCAUUGAAAGAAGACCCCAUCUAUGAACCAGGAAAUGAUCCCUCACCAGACACCAAAUUUGCCAGCACUUUGGUCUUAGACUUUCAGCCUCCAGAACUAUAAAAAAUAAAUUGCUGUUUAUAUGCCACCCAGUCUAAGGUAAUUUCUUAUAGCAGCCAAAGUGAACUAAGACAAGAUUUUUCUAAAACGUUGUCUUUCAUGUUACCCUGUUCAUCACAAGAACAAUUAACCACUAAAAUCUUUGUUAAUAAAUUAUAUAAGAUCAUACAGGGCAUGUUUGUCAAUCGUACAAAAGAUAGUUUUAAUAAUUCUUGGCUGGGCACGGUGGCUCACGCUUGUAAUCCCAGCACUUUGGGAGGCCAAGGCAGGUGGAUCACGAGGUCAGGAGUUCGAGACCAGUCUGGCAAACACAGUAAAACCCCGUCUCUACUAAAAAUACAAAAAAAUUAGCUGAGCAUGAUGGUGGGUGCCUGUAAUCCCAGCUACUCAGGAGGCUGAGGCAGGAGAAUCGCUUGAACCUGGGAGAUGGAGGUUACAGUGAGCCGAGAUUGCGCUGCUGCACUCCAGCUUGGGCAACAGAGUGAGACUCUGUCUCAAAAAAAAAAAAAAAAAAAAAAAAAAAAGAGUUUUAACAAUUCUUAUAAGCUUAGGACUCAAAAAUAUACUAUUUGUUUUGAGGAAGACUCUUCUUUGUGUGAUCCGAUUGUAUUACUCCAUAUUUCUACCGGCCCAAGUACCUCUCCCCAUGGUCAGCACAGCUCAUGCUAGGUACCUCCAGGAUCACAUCAUUGAGUAUUUGGAAAAUGGGUCAUCGACUAGCAAAAACUCAUAUUAUAAAUGCGGAGCCAUAUGCAAUGGGUAUAACUUAAUGCCCCAAAUCUGUAGGCCUGAAAAAAGAAAGAAAGAAGCACAAAGUCUUUUAUAUAUCACUCUUGAACUCAACUUCUAGGUAAUCUUCUAUAGCUGAGUCUGCAACUCCUUCCCUCAGAAUAACAAAUGUGCAGCUACCAAGCACCAAAAUUUAAUAAUUCAGCAAUCUCACAUUGCUACUCUUAUAUUUCAUCCUUCAUCUUUCCACAGCCUAUAAGUAGAAAAAUAGUUGAAGAGCAUGAGGCAGAUAAACUUAAGGGCUUGAUAUGUAAGAAGGUUGUCAGCUUGCUGGUCUAAUUGUUCUGGUUCUACACUCUGCCACCUAUAAUUGAAUGUGAUUGAAUUAAUUCAGCUUAUUUAUUUGGUCAUUUAUUUCUAGAAAGAGGUAUCUAACUUUUCAUGAACAUAAUCAUUGAUGAUUUGACCAUUAAGGUCACUCUCAGGAGGAGUUAGAAGUCAGUCUCUAUCUAUAUAGUUCUAUGCAGGCUGAAAAACCAUUCACUUUCUCCUAAUCUUCUUUUCUUAGGUGC